GGGGCCGAAAAAGAAAAACCUUUGCCUUUUCAUAGACCUGAGAUUCGUCCGGAAAGCAUCGAUACUCUUUCAUGUAAUACGAUAAUGCGUAGUUUCGGUCAGCAGUGUCACGUUCUGACAGGAAUCUGAAAAAUAUAUGUUACAGCUUC
Molecule: non-coding RNA, 149 nt
Organism: Caenorhabditis elegans
Lineage: Eukaryota; Metazoa; Nematoda; Chromadorea; Rhabditida; Rhabditidae
Source: Ensembl